GACGAACGCUGGCGGCGUGCUUAACACAUGCAAGUCGAACGGUAAGGCCCUUCGGGGUACACGAGUGGCGAACGGGUGAGUAACACGUGGGUGAUCUGCCCUGCACUUCGGGAUAAGCCUGGGAAACUGGGUCUAAUACCGGAUAGGACCACUGCCUGCAUGGGUGGUGGUGGGAAGCUUUUGCGGUGUGGGAUGGGCCCGCGGCCUAUCAGCUUGUUGGUGGGGUGAUGGCCUACCAAGGGGACGACGGGUAGCCGGCCUGAGAGGGUGACCGGCCACACUGGGACUGAGAUGCGGCCCAGACUCCUACGGGAGGAAGCAGUGGGGAAUAUUGCACAAUGGGCGCAAGCCGGAUGCAGCGACGCCGCGUGAGGGAUGACGGCCUUCGGGUUGUAAACCUCUUUCAGCACCGACGAAGCGCAAGUGACGGUAGGUGCAGAAGAAGGACCGGCCAACUACGUGCCAGCAGCCGCCGUAA
This 478-nucleotide ribosomal RNA is filed under the name uncultured bacterium. RNAcentral describes it as "partial 16S ribosomal RNA". It matches the Rfam family "Bacterial small subunit ribosomal RNA", at positions 28 to 523 of the family's 1533-position model. The record is from RNAcentral.